RNAcentral lists this ribosomal RNA (926 nucleotides) under Bacillus sp. (in: firmicutes). RNAcentral's name for it is "bacterial SSU rRNA". It matches the Rfam family "Bacterial small subunit ribosomal RNA", at positions 52 to 960 of the family's 1533-position model. Lineage: Bacteria; Bacillati; Bacillota; Bacilli; Caryophanales; Bacillaceae. The record is from RNAcentral.
AGAAUGCAAGUCGAGCGAACAGAAGGGAGCUUGCUCCCGGAUGUUAGCGGCGGACGGGUGAGUAACACGUGGGUAACCUGCCUGUAAGACUGGGAUAACUCCGGGAAACCGGAGCUAAUACCGGAUAGUUCCUUGAACCGCAUGGUUCAAGGAUGAAAGACGGUUUCGGCUGUCACUUACAGAUGGACCCGCGGCGCAUUAGCUAGUUGGUGGGGUAAUGGCUCACCAAGGCGACGAUGCGUAGCCGACCUGAGAGGGUGAUCGGCCACACUGGGACUGAGACACGGCCCAGACUCCUACGGGAGGCAGCAGUAGGGAAUCUUCCGCAAUGGACGAAAGUCUGACGGAGCAACGCCGCGUGAGUGAUGAAGGUUUUCGGAUCGUAAAGCUCUGUUGUUAGGGAAGAACAAGUGCGAGAGUAACUGCUCGCACCUUGACGGUACCUAACCAGAAAGCCACGGCUAACUACGUGCCAGCAGCCGCGGUAAUACGUAGGUGGCAAGCGUUGUCCGGAAUUAUUGGGCGUAAAGGGCUCGCAGGCGGUUUCUUAAGUCUGAUGUGAAAGCCCCCGGCUCAACCGGGGAGGGUCAUUGGAAACUGGGAAACUUGAGUGCAGAAGAGGAGAGUGGAAUUCCACGUGUAGCGGUGAAAUGCGUAGAGAUGUGGAGGAACACCAGUGGCGAAGGCGACUCUCUGGUCUGUAACUGACGCUGAGGAGCGAAAGCGUGGGGAGCGAACAGGAUUAGAUACCCUGGUAGUCCACGCCGUAAACGAUGAGUGCUAAGUGGUUAGGGGGUUUCCGCCCCUUAGUGCUGCAGCUAACGCAUUAAGCACUCCGCCUGGGGAGUACGGUCGCAAGACUGAAACUCAAAGGAAUUGACGGGGGCCGCACAAGCGGUGGAACAUGUGGUUUAAUUCGAAGCACC